GAGGGUGUAGCUCAGUGGUAGAAUGCAUGUCUAGCAUGCACAAAGUCCUGGGUUCAAUCCCUAGUACCUCCA
RNAcentral lists this transfer RNA (72 nucleotides) under Camelus bactrianus (Bactrian camel). It matches the Rfam family "tRNA". From Rfam's summary of the family: Transfer RNA (tRNA) molecules are approximately 80 nucleotides in length. Their secondary structure includes four short double-helical elements and three loops (D, anti-codon, and T loops). RNAcentral also lists the same sequence under 3 other names. Lineage: Eukaryota; Metazoa; Chordata; Mammalia; Artiodactyla; Camelidae. The record is from Rfam by way of RNAcentral.